RNAcentral lists this small nuclear RNA (107 nucleotides) under Castor canadensis (American beaver). Lineage: Eukaryota; Metazoa; Chordata; Mammalia; Rodentia; Castoridae. The record is from RNAcentral.
GUAGUCACUUCAGCAGCACAUAUACUAAAAUUGUAACAAUACAGAGAAAAUUAUCAUGGCCCCUGCACAAGAAUGACACACAAAUCCAUGAAGCCUUCCAUAUUUUU